This is a long non-coding RNA of Pelodiscus sinensis (Chinese soft-shelled turtle), 2051 nucleotides long. RefSeq lists it as uncharacterized. The record is from RefSeq and is a predicted model, not a curated record. Lineage: Eukaryota; Metazoa; Chordata; Testudines; Trionychidae.
UAGCCCCCCCCCCACGUCAUAAAACAGCUUCACCCUCCUUCCGCGUCAUAAAACAGCUUCACCCUCUUCAUAAGAGAGGGUCCUUGGCCAAACUCAUUAGGCUGUGCAAGGGAGGAGAAAGUCCAUGAAAGGAAGGAAGCAAGGAACAAGCGGGCCUGAGUGGGGUAUUGCAUUACAUCAGUUUCCUCUGGGAGGGGCUGAGCUUGGAAUGGAGGGUUCCCGGGUAUGGAUGGCACAAGACCCGUUUGUGAGGUAGAAGCGUCUGGAAAAGACAGAUGGCAGAUGUACCCGAAUGAGGAGGCUGGGUCAAGGCAGUCUUUCCUGGCUUUCUGCUGUGAUCCCUGCCAGGGCGUGUGGCCUCCAGCCUUGCUGCUAGCUCCCCUCUCCUCUCUGCUGCUGCGUUUCCCUUUCAGGGGAGGAGUUGAGAGCAGAUGCCAGUGGGUGGAUGGUCUGCAAAAGCAACAGAGAGUGAGACUUAGGAAGGAAAGCCAAGCCCUGGAAGAGGUGCUGUCAGAAUCACCAUGGCAUCUCCCACACAGACAACCACGUGCCUCCCAGCUCCAAUGGGGGGUUUCCGGUAGAUGUUACUCUCUGCGGCAGCUGGAGGUAAACAAGAGAGAGAGAGAGAGAGAGAGAGAGGAAAAGAAAAGAAAGAGAAAGGAUAUGGAAGUCAGUUUGUGUUUGCUGGGAGCAGUGAUAUGGAGAGGACAUGGAAGAGGAGAUGCAAACCCCCCAGUCACUCAUCUGUUAGGUUCAACAUUUUUCACCUCCAUGGAUCUUUAAAAAAAAAAAAAAAAGCAACCUACUUCCAAGGCAUUUCAUCAAAGAUGGACCAGGGCCUGGUUUAGCUUGAAAGGGGAUUAAACCUGUUUUGGAAACUAAGCACCCAGUUACUAGGUGAUGGGUGCUAUAGAAAACCCUAGUGUAGAGAGAGUGUGUGUGUGCUAGAGGACAUGCAGUGAGCAUGCUCAGUGUUAACAUCAUGCAUUGACAAAAUAGUAGAUGCUUCUCCUUCCUGUUCCCACUGUGGGCUCUUCUCAGACGGGGGGAAGGGGAAGAAGGAGAGGGGACACCUGGAAGUCCAGGAUCUGGGGGUACCUCUAUGGGGUACCCCAAUGGUCCACCCUUAUUGAAGGAUUUACAAGAGGGAGAUUAUUUCUUGGGGCAUAAGCAUCUAAAAGAAUGAUCCAUGAUUCACCUGAAAGCAAACCAACAUCAGCCAAAGCCUCUUUCAGCAAGGGAGAAACAGAUCUAGAUGCGAAGGGGAAGCUACUUGAACUGUACCUAUAGUUAUCCUACCAGCACUAGGGCCUACCAGCUGAGCUGCCGGAGAAGGGAUGGGGCCAUCCAUAGCAGACAUCAGCAAGGGGGCAGAGGAACUCCAGUCAGCACACAUAACAUAGCUGUGGCGGUGGGGUGGCGGGACAGGGAGAGGGUCAAGAUAGGGCCAUUGCAGAAGGAUGGGACCUGUAGAUGUGCAUAGAGCUAGUCCUUAUGGUGGUGCCUGUGACCAUGGAUUGGUAACAUGGGUGAGCAUGAGGAAGAGGCUGAAGCUCCAAUCCAGACUGUUGGUGUCCGCCCUGAGAGAUGCUAAUUCUGGACUAUGUAUGUGCAUACUAAACAUGGCCUGGAUUUUUUGAACACCUCAACCAAAAUCUGGUGCCUUUGGUUUCAGUUCACCAGCUCGGCCCACGCUAGAGAAAAGAACUCACUGCACUAUAAGGAAAGUAUGUUCACAGUCUGCAUCCCACCACCCAAGUCUGGGGUUGGGUUCAGGCCCAUCUCAAAGGUGCACUUGAGAGCCAGAGAAACGUCUUUGGAAGGGGGACAGGUCAAAUGUCCCUUGAACUCAUUAGGGUUGGUUUGUUUUGCAUGGGCUGAGUCAUGAGUUUUUGAACUGACGAAUGGUCCAGUCAGUCUCUGUGAUUGCAGCCGGGAGGGCAGCGAGUGCCUUAUUGCAACCUAUUGUUUAUCCUGAAAAACAGGGGAACAGGGCCUUGUUUCCCUCCCAACCCCGCUGAAGAUCUGUGGAUGGACUGAGGGGGCAGUGG